GGGAAAAGACGGUAGGAUAUGUACAUCUCUGCACGUAACUGAGUAAAUCAGAAAGUGGUGGGAGCAAUGGUUAUUCGUUGAGGGCACCUAUUUUGCCAUCAGUCCCAGUUGUGGGUUCCUGGACUCUGAAUGAGGUGACUCCUGUUCCUGUCCUGCCUCUGAUCCCAUCUGGGAUAUUCCCCAAAUCUCCUCCUACCUCAGUUUCCCUCUGUUGUCAGACAGAUAAAUAUUGUUUCCUCCCUUUGUAAAGCUCCCCAUGAAAUGCUGCUAAGACAGAGCAAGGUGUGGUGUUUUUAUGGCUGCUCUUUGCCUUGGGUUUGCAGAGGAAGCCUGCUCUCACCCCAAGGCACGGUGACCUGCCAGCACCAGCAGGAGGGAGCAGCCCCAGGACUCCCUGCAGAGGUAGCACUUUGAAGCAAAGGGUGUUGCAAGUGCAUAAAUCCCUUCCUACUAUGUGCUUCCUUGCCCUGGUGGCAUUUAUGGCUUGUUGCUGUGUUUUAGGAGCAUUAGGGAAAAUACAGAUAGUCUGGCAUUUUAUUACUCAUAUUUCUCUGCUCUUAAUGACUGAAUGGAGCACGACUUGCUAAUGAACUAGGCUGAAAUGAAUGCAUUUGUGGCACUAAUUGAAAUAAACCCAAGGUCUGGCUUUUCAAAAGGAGUAAAACCUCUAGCACUCUCAAAAAAAGAAAAGAAAAGAAAAGAAAAGAAAAGAAAAGAAAAGAAAAGAAAAGCCUCUUUUACUGUCUUUAACCCCUGCUUGUUGUCUUUCAGUACAGCUGCAUUUGGAUGCAACAGAGCAAGGCAGAUUCUGCUUGCGGGAACUAGGGAUUCAUGGUGCAGGAUGCUGGGGACUGGGCUUGGUGUUGCUCCCUUCCUCAUCUAUAAAAGCAGCUCAUUAGGGGCAGUAGGGUUCUCAGGUAGCAGAGGGUUAUGUGGAGAUGGCCUGGGAGCACAUGGAUGGAGUCCCGUAAGCUGAGGGUGCAGAGAAGUGACGUGUGGAGGCACUGAAAAGUUCAAAGGGCUGUGUGGAAGGUAUUUGUGUGAUUUCCACACUUCGAUGAACAUGCCCUGCUACGGCCCAUGCUGAGACAGGAGGCAGCAGCACGUUGCAGACACCAGCAGAGCCAGGCAGCAGCAGGCUGGUGAGGGGAAGAACCACCCUGGGCUCCAAGAGGAUGAAAAAGUGUUCAAAUUAAGGCUUGCACUGAAGGUUUUUUUCAGCCCGUGGAUGAGGUCUGUAUGCCUGGUGUGUCUUGCAUUCCUUCUCAAGGUUCCCCCACCUCCUUCAGCAAUUUGGGAGUCCCGAAGCGCGCUCUGCACAUACUGCCUGUGCUUAACUGUGCUGGGUCUGGGACUUGUGCAGUGCCCCUUCUGGUGCUAUUCACUCAAUUCCUGUGAAUUCAGGAGGAAUGUGGGAAGGGAAACGAGCCCUUUCUUCUUCCUUCACUGAUCUCCUGACAAAGUUUCAUUCAUCUGGCCUGGAAGCAGUAGGGAUGGUGCAUGCCGGAGGCAACCACUCAGCCAGGGGGAUGAGGCAGAGCCCGGCACUUGCAAAGAGCCCAUUUGCUGGAAAUUGAUGAUCCAAAGUUGCAUGGGGAAUUUGUAUGAAUGGAAGGAAAGACAGCCAGUAAUUGGGAUCGGUGGGUGAAGUGUCAGCAAACAGAAGAAAGGGAUACUUCGGUGACAGUGAUAAAUGCUAGCAGCUUUUGGUCUCAUCUGGAGGAGCGAAUUGGAGCAAAGACUUCGUAAGAAAAGGAAGGAGUGAAAAGACAGCAACCUGAUGGAUGUUACAGUGGAAAAGUGCUCAGAAAACAAAAGUUCAGCAGAGCAUUUUUAGGGCAGUGAUCAGUGGCAAGCCACAGAGGUCCUUCCCCGAGGCUGAGAGGGUCACCGUUGGUUACAUCCCCAGAAAUAAGUCACCAGGCUGGAAGGGGGAUCUUCUCUACAGCCCUUCCCUUCCCACACUUGGUCAUUUU
This 1976-nucleotide long non-coding RNA is filed under the name Anas platyrhynchos platyrhynchos (common mallard). RNAcentral describes it as "lncRNA (ENSAPLG00000020520.1)". Lineage: Eukaryota; Metazoa; Chordata; Aves; Anseriformes; Anatidae. The record is from RNAcentral.